Molecule: ribosomal RNA, 609 nt
Filed under: uncultured bacterium
Lineage: Bacteria
Description: bacterial SSU rRNA
Rfam family: Bacterial small subunit ribosomal RNA
Source: RNAcentral
CCUACGGGAGGCAGCAGUAGGGAAUAUUGGGCAAUGGAGGCAACUCUGACCCAGCCAUGCCGCGUGCAGGAUGAAGGCGUUAUGCGUUGUAAACUGCUUUUAUAUAGGAAGAAAGAGUUCUUGCGAGAACAGUUGACGGUACUAUAUGAAUAAGCACCGGCUAACUCCGUGCCAGCAGCCGCGGUAAUACGGAGGGUGCAAGCGUUGUCCGGAUUUAUUGGGUUUAAAGGGUGCGUAGGCGGUUUAUUAAGUCAGUGGUGAAAGACGGUCGCUCAACGAUUGCAGUGCCAUUGAUACUGGUAGACUUGAGUGAGAUUGAGGUAGCUGGAAUGGAUAGUGUAGCGGUGAAAUGCAUAGAUAUUAUCCAGAACACCAAUUGCGUAGGCAAGUUACUAAGUCUUAACUGACGCUGAGGCACGAAAGUGUGGGUAUCAAACAGGAUUAGAUACCCUGGUAGUCCACACUGUAAACGAUGAUAACUAACUGUUGGCUUUCGGGUCAGUGGUACAGAGAAAUCGUUAAGUUAUCCACCUGGGGAGUACGCCGGCAACGGUGAAACUCAAAGGAAUUGACCGGNNGAGAGNGCGACGACGACGACGAGGGAGGAGG